UGCGUAGGCGGAUUUAUAAGUCAGUGGUGAAAUCCUACAGCUUAACUGUAGAACUGCCAUUGAUACUGUAGAUCUUGAGUACGGUUGAGGUGGGCGGAAUGUGUCAUGUAGCGGUGAAAUGCUUAGAUAUGACACAGAACACUAAUUGCGAAGGCAGCUCGCUAAACCGUAACUGACGCUGAGGCACGAAAGCGUGGGGAGCGAACAGGAUUAGAUACCCUGGUAGUCC
This 229-nucleotide ribosomal RNA is filed under the name uncultured bacterium. RNAcentral describes it as "partial 16S ribosomal RNA". It matches the Rfam family "Bacterial small subunit ribosomal RNA", at positions 568 to 796 of the family's 1533-position model. The record is from RNAcentral.